GCUCCACUAGCCCAAACGGUAGAGGCAAAGGACUUAAAAUCCUUAAAGUCCAAGUUCGAAUCUUGGGUGGAGUA
Molecule: transfer RNA, 74 nt
Filed under: Allomuricauda sp.
Lineage: Bacteria; Pseudomonadati; Bacteroidota; Flavobacteriia; Flavobacteriales; Flavobacteriaceae
Also listed under: 1 other name
Description: tRNA-Leu
Rfam family: tRNA
About the family: Transfer RNA (tRNA) molecules are approximately 80 nucleotides in length.
Source: RNAcentral